RNAcentral lists this small RNA (28 nucleotides) under Bombyx mori (domestic silkworm). RNAcentral describes it as "ovarian small RNA-36648". Lineage: Eukaryota; Metazoa; Arthropoda; Insecta; Lepidoptera; Bombycidae. The record is from RNAcentral.
UUACUGCUUCACGGCUGAAAUGGGCAGG